RNAcentral lists this transfer-messenger RNA (345 nucleotides) under Tigheibacillus jepli. It matches the Rfam family "transfer-messenger RNA". From Rfam's summary of the family: Bacterial tmRNA, also known as 10Sa RNA or SsrA, is named for its dual tRNA and mRNA-like properties. The record is from RNAcentral. Lineage: Bacteria; Bacillati; Bacillota; Bacilli; Caryophanales; Bacillaceae.
UACGGAUUCGACAGGGAUAGGUUGAGCUUGGGUGGCGCGUCGAGGUUACGUCUCGUAAAACGUUAUCGCCUAAUAAUAACUGGCAAAACUAAUAAUCAACCUGCUUUAGCUGCUGCUGCGUAAGUAGUGCUUAAGCGAUCCUUCCUGCUAUCGCCCGUGUGGCAGAUUGAAGGGUCUCAAAUGAAGCGGGCUAUACUAUUGGCCACCGCCUGAGGUCAAUAGUUGAAAUGAAUCAGGCUAGCUGCUAGGAAGCCAGUUGGCAGGCCGAAUAGACAGCGAAUGAUAAUAUGUCAACUACACGCGUAGAAGCCGAAGUGGCAAUAUCUCUGGACGUGGGUUCGAUUA